CCCUUAGAUGUUCUGGGCCGCACGCGUGCUACACUGAGUGGAUCAGCGGGUCAGGUUGCGCGAAAGUGUUUCCUAAUCUUGAAAUCCGCUCGUGAUGGGGAUUGACGGUUGCAAUUUUCCGUCAUGAACGAGGAAUACCUUGUAAGCGCGGGUCAUCAUCCCGCGCUGAAUACGUCCCUGCCCUUUGUACACACCGCCCGUCGCUCCUACCGAUUGAGUGGUCCGGUGAGGCUUUGGGAUCUGAGCAAAGAGAGCGUCUCGCUCGUUUUGCCCGGAAAACUCAGUCGAACCUUAUCAUUUAGAGGAAGGAGAAGUCGUAACA
Molecule: ribosomal RNA, 322 nt
Filed under: uncultured eukaryote
Lineage: Eukaryota
Description: partial 18S ribosomal RNA
Rfam family: Eukaryotic small subunit ribosomal RNA
Source: RNAcentral